CCUACGGGAGGCAGCAGUGAGGAAUAUUGGUCAAUGGCCGAGAGGCUGAACCAGCCAAGUCGCGUGAGGGAAGACGGCCCUACGGGUUGUAAACCUCUUUUGUCGGAGAACAAAACCCGGGACGUGUCCCGGACCGCGUGUAUCCGAAGAAAAAGCAUCGGCUAACCCCGUGCCAGCAGCCGCGGUAAUACGGAGGAUGCGAGCGUUAUCCGGAUUUAUUGGGUUUAAAGGGUGCGUAGGCGGUCCGUUAAGUCAGCGGUAAAAUUGCGGGGCUCAACCCCGUCGAGCCGUUGAAACUGGCGGACUUGAGUUGGCGAGAAGUACGCGGAAUGCGCGGUGUAGCGGUGAAAUGCAUAGAUAUCGCGCAGAACUCCGAUUGCGAAGGCAGCGUACCGGCGCCAGACUGACGCUGAGGCACGAAAGCGUGGGGAUCGAACAGGAUUAGAUACCCCAGUAGUC
RNAcentral lists this ribosomal RNA (459 nucleotides) under uncultured bacterium. RNAcentral describes it as "partial 16S ribosomal RNA". It matches the Rfam family "Bacterial small subunit ribosomal RNA", at positions 338 to 795 of the family's 1533-position model. The record is from RNAcentral.